RNAcentral lists this ribosomal RNA (433 nucleotides) under uncultured bacterium. RNAcentral's name for it is "partial 16S ribosomal RNA". It matches the Rfam family "Bacterial small subunit ribosomal RNA", at positions 28 to 507 of the family's 1533-position model. The record is from RNAcentral.
GACGAACGCUGGCGGCAUGCCUAACACAUGCAAGUCGAACGAGACCUUCGGGUCUAGUGGCGCACGGGUGCGUAACGCGUGGGAACCUGCCUUUAGGUUCGGAAUAACUCAGAGAAAUUUGAGCUAAUACCGGAUGAUGUCUUCGGACCAAAGAUUUAUCGCCUUUAGAUGGGCCCGCGUUGGAUUAGCUAGUUGGUGGGGUAAAGGCCUACCAAGGCGACGAUCCAUAGCUGGUCUGAGAGGAUGAUCAGCCACACUGGGACUGAGACACGGCCCAGACUCCUACGGGAGGCAGCAGUGGGGAAUAUUGGACAAUGGGCGAAAGCCUGAUCCAGCAAUGCCGCGUGAGUGAUGAAGGCCUUAGGGUUGUAAAGCUCUUUUACCCGAGAUGAUAAUGACAGUAUCGGGAGAAUAAGCGCCGGCUAACUCCGUG